Molecule: ribosomal RNA, 594 nt
Filed under: Laminaria sp.
Lineage: Eukaryota; Phaeophyceae; Laminariales; Laminariaceae
Description: eukaryotic LSU rRNA
Rfam family: Eukaryotic large subunit ribosomal RNA
Source: RNAcentral
UUUAAGCAUAUAACUAAGCGGAGGAAAAGAAACUAACCAGGAUUCCCCCAGUAACGGCGAGUGAAGCGGGAAGAGCUCACGUUGUAAAUCUGCCUUCGGGCCGAAUUGUAGUCUGGAGAGGCGUGGCCAGCCGCAGCCGGGGGCGAAGUCUCUUGGAAAAGAGCAUCAAGGAGGGUGACAAUCCCGUUCUUGCCCCCAGGGUGUGUGCGUACGGUCCGUUUUCUAAGAGUCGAGUUGCUUGGGAUUGCAGCUCAAAGCGGGUGGUAAAUUCCAUCUAAAGCUAAACACGGGUGGGAGACCGAUAGCGAACAAGUACCGUGAGGGAAAGAUGCAAAGAACUUUGAAAAGAGAGUUAAAGAGUGCCUGAAAUUGCUGAAAGGGAAGCGAAGGAAACCAGUGUCUGGCGUCGAAGCUUUCCCUCUGCCCCUCGGGGCUCUGGGUCGCGUCUUCGCCGUGGCCAGGGUCGGGUAUGGUUGCGGGAGCCUGCGCCUCGGAAGGUAACCUCUCUUCGGAGGGUGAAGACCGUGGCGUGUCGUCGCGACUGUGGCCGGCUCUGACGAAAUGGUUUUCUUUACCCCGUCUUGAAAACACGGA